AUGGGAGCUUGCUCCCAUUUCUCAGCGGCGGACGGGUGAGUAACACGUGGGCAACCUGCCCUGCAGACUGGGAUAACUCCGGGAAACCGGAGCUAAUACCGGGUAAUACAUAGCAUCGCAUGAUGCAACGUUGAAAGUUGGCCUUUGGCUAACACUGUAGGAUGGGCCCGCGGCGCAUUAGCUAGUUGGUAAGGUAACGGCUUACCAAGGCCACGAUGCGUAGCCGACCUGAGAGGGUGAUCGGCCACACUGGGACUGAGACACGGCCCAGACUCCUACGGGAGGCAGCAGUAGGGAAUCUUCCGCAAUGGACGAAAGUCUGACGGAGCAACGCCGCGUGAGUGACGAAGGCCUUCGGGUCGUAAAGCUCUGUUGUUAGGGAAGAACAAGUACCGUUCGAAUAGGGCGGUACCUUGACGGUACCUAACCAGAAAGCCACGGCUAACUACGUGCCAGCAGCCGCGGUAAUACGUAGGUGGCAAGCGUUGUCCGGAAUUAUUGGGCGUAAAGCGCGCGCAGGCGGUCUCUUAAGUCUGAUGUGAAAGCCCACGGCUCAACCGUGGAGGGCCAUUGGAAACUGGGGGACUUGAGUGCAGAAGAGGAGAGUGGAAUUCCACGUGUAGCGGUGAAAUGCGUAGAUAUGUGGAGGAACACCAGUGGCGAAGGCGGCUCUCUGGUCUGUAACUGACGCUGAGGCGCGAAAGCGUGGGGAGCGAACAGGAUUAGAUACCCUGGUAGUCCACGCCGUAAACGAUGAGUGCUAGGUGUUGGGGGCUUCCACCCUCAGUGCUGAAGUUAACACAUUAAGCACUCCGCCUGGGGAGUACGACCGCAAGGUUGAAACUCAAAGGAAUUGACGGGGGCCCGCACAAGCAGUGGAGCAUGUGGUUUAAUUCGAAGCAACGCGUAGAACCUUACCAGGUCUUGACAUCCUCUGCCACUCCUAGAGAUAGGACGUUC
Molecule: ribosomal RNA, 960 nt
Filed under: Bacillus sp. (in: firmicutes)
Lineage: Bacteria; Bacillati; Bacillota; Bacilli; Caryophanales; Bacillaceae
Description: bacterial SSU rRNA
Rfam family: Bacterial small subunit ribosomal RNA
Source: RNAcentral